GAAAUGCGAUAAGUAAUGCGAAUUGCAGAAUUUCCGUGAGUCAUCGAAUCUUUGAACGCACAUUGCGCCCCCUGGUAUUCCGGGGGGCAUGCCUGUUCGAGCGUCAUUUCACCACUCAAGCCUCGCUUGGUAUUGGGCAACGCGGUCCGCCGCGUGCCUCAAAUCGACCGGCUGGGUCUUCUGUCCCCUAAGCGUUGUGGAAACUAUUCGCUAAAGGGUGCUCGGGAGGCUACGCCGUAAAACAACCCCAUUUCUAAGGUUGACCUCGGAUCAGGUAGGGAUACCCGCUGAACUUAAGC
Molecule: unclassified non-coding RNA, 299 nt
Filed under: plant metagenome
Description: partial contains 5.8S ribosomal RNA, internal transcribed spacer 2, and large subunit ribosomal RNA
Rfam family: 5.8S ribosomal RNA (bases 1-106)
Source: RNAcentral